RNAcentral lists this ribosomal RNA (418 nucleotides) under uncultured bacterium. Its description in RNAcentral is "bacterial SSU rRNA". It matches the Rfam family "Bacterial small subunit ribosomal RNA", at positions 28 to 435 of the family's 1533-position model. The record is from RNAcentral.
GAUGAACGCUAGCGAUAGGCCUAACACAUGCAAGUCGAGGGGCAUCACAUGAAGUAGCAAUACGGAUGGUGGCGACCGGCGCACGGGUGAGUAACACGUAUGCAACCUGCCUUCAACAAGGGGAUAACCCGUUGAAAGACGGACUAAUACCCUAUAACACAGGGGUCCCGCAUGGGGAAUAUUUGUUAAAGGACAACCGGUUGAAGAUGGGCAUGCGUUCCAUUAGCUAGUUGGCGGGGUAACGGCCCACCAAGGCAACGAUGGAUAGGGGAACUGAGAGGUUUAUCCCCCACACUGGUACUGAGACACGGACCAGACUCCUACGGGAGGCAGCAGUGAGGAAUAUUGGUCAAUGGACGCAAGUCUGAACCAGCCACGUCGCGUGAAGGAAGACGGCCCUACGGGUUGUAAACUUCUU